GAAUAUUAGUCAAUGCUCGAAAGAGUGAACUAGCUAACUGAAAUCAAUUAAAAAUAAUUGAUAACAUAAGGGAAAAUAAUGAUAAUACCUUAUUAUAAGUGUCGUCCAAAACUGGUGCCAGAAGACUCGGUAAGGCCAGAGACACAAACGUUAAUCGUCUUAAUCAGGCGUAAAGGGUUUGUAGGCGGCUUUAAAAUUAAUUUUAUUUAAUUAAUUUAAAAUAAUAUUAAAAAUAAAAGCUAGAAUCAAAUAGAGGAUAUAUUAAAGAAUGCUUAGAGUAGGUCUGAUAUCCUUAGAUACUAAGUAGAAUAUUAAAGGCGAAAGCUUUUUUCCAAUAAUGAUUGACGCUCAGAAACGAAGGUGAGGAUAGGAAAUAGGAUUAGAUACCCAAAAUACCCCUCUCUGUCAACGAUGAAUGGUAAUUAUUAGUAUAAAUUAUUAAUAAUAAUGUUAACACGAUAACCAUUCCGCCUUGUGAGUACAAUUGCAAAGUUGAAAACAAAAAAAUUAGUCGGUUUCGGAGCAAACGAAGUGAAGCAUGUUAUUUAAUUC
This 552-nucleotide ribosomal RNA is filed under the name Russula aff. betularum VH-2016. RNAcentral describes it as "partial 12S small subunit ribosomal RNA". It matches the Rfam family "Bacterial small subunit ribosomal RNA", at positions 359 to 952 of the family's 1533-position model. The record is from RNAcentral. Lineage: Eukaryota; Fungi; Basidiomycota; Agaricomycetes; Russulales; Russulaceae.